UGGGGAAUAUUGGACAAUGGGCGCAAGCCUGAUCCAGCCAUGCCGCGUGUGUGAAGAAGGCCUUCGGGUUGUAAAGCACUUUUGUCCGGAAAGAAAAGCUCUCGGUUAAUACCCGGGGGUCCUGACGGUACCGGAAGAAUAAGCACCGGCUAACUUCGUGCCAGCAGCCGCGGUAAUACGAAGGGUGCAAGCGUUACUCGGAAUUACUGGGCGUAAAGCGUGCGUAGGUGGUUUGUUAAGUCUGAUGUGAAAGCCCUGGGCUCAACCUGGGAAUGGCAUUGGAUACUGGCGAGCUAGAGUGCGGUAGAGGGUAGUGGAAUUCCCGGUGUAGCAGUGAAAUGCGUAGAGAUCGGGAGGAACAUCUGUGGCGAAGGCGACUACCUGGACCAGCACUGACACUGAGGCACGAAAGCGUGGGGAGCAAACAGG
This 429-nucleotide ribosomal RNA is filed under the name Bacillota bacterium. RNAcentral describes it as "Firmicutes bacterium partial 16S ribosomal RNA". It matches the Rfam family "Bacterial small subunit ribosomal RNA", at positions 355 to 776 of the family's 1533-position model. The record is from RNAcentral. Lineage: Bacteria; Bacillati; Bacillota.